This is a non-coding RNA of Angiostrongylus costaricensis, 72 nucleotides long. The record is from Rfam. Lineage: Eukaryota; Metazoa; Nematoda; Chromadorea; Rhabditida; Metastrongylidae.
AGCAGCGUGGCGCAGUGGAAGCGUGCUGGGCCCAUAACCCAGAGAUCGGUGCAUCGAAGCCACUCGCUGCUA